This 1374-nucleotide unclassified non-coding RNA is filed under the name uncultured Neocallimastigales. Its description in RNAcentral is "partial contains small subunit ribosomal RNA, internal transcribed spacer 1, 5.8S ribosomal RNA, internal transcribed spacer 2, and large subunit ribosomal RNA". The stretch from base 618 to 1374 matches the Rfam family "Eukaryotic large subunit ribosomal RNA", at positions 1 to 617 of the family's 3401-position model. Lineage: Eukaryota; Fungi; Neocallimastigomycota; Neocallimastigomycetes; Neocallimastigales. The record is from RNAcentral.
UUUCCGUAGGUGAACCUGCGGAAGGAUCAUUAAUAAAUGGCUCGAUUUAAGAGCACUUAAUAAUCAUCCUACCCUUUGUGAAUUUGUUGUUUGAAAUAAUUUUUUUUAAAAUUAUUGAUUGUCUUUCCCUGUUGAAUUGGUUGUCUUUGGACGAGUUGAUUCUCAGGGGAUAGUCAGUAAUUUUUAAAAAGACCUUUUUUAAAAUUAAACUUUUUGUAUUCAUUUGUCUAAAAUUAUUUUUAUAAUAUAAAAACAACUUUUGACAAUGGAUCUCUUGGUUCUCGCAACGAUGAAGAACGCAGCAAAAUGCGAUAAGUAGUGUGAAUUGCAGAAUACGUGAAUCAUCGAAUCUUCGAACGCAUAUUGCACUUUUUUAGUUUACUAAAAAAGUAUGUCUGUUUGAGUAUCAGUAAAAUAUUCUCAUAAAAACUUUUUUGUUUUAUGGUUAUGAGUGUUUACAACGAUACAAGUUGUUUCACUUUAAAUUUUUUAAAAUUUGAAUUUUUUUCUAAUUUUAAAUAAAAUUGGAUAAAAUUUUCCCGUAAAAAGGAAUAACCUAAACAAUUUUACUUAUUUUAGAAGAAAUUUCAACCAAAGGAAAAUUUAACAAAAUAACUUGAUCUCAAAUCAGAUAAGAGUACCCGCUGAACUUAAGCAUAUCAAUAAGCGGAGGAAAAGAAACUAACAAGGAUUCCCUUAGUAACGGCGAGUGAAGCGGGAAGAGCUCAAAUUUGAAAUCUUCAAGGUUUUACCUUGACGAAUUGUAGUUUAAAGAAGUGUUUUCUGUUGAAGUUUUGGUAAAAGUUCUUCGGAAUAGGACAUCAUAGAGGGUGAGAAUCCCGUAUUUGACCAUUAUUUUCAGCUGUGUGAUACACUUUCAAAGAGUCGGAUUGUUGGGAAUGCAGUCCAAAAUGGGUGGUAAAUUUCAUCUAAAGCUAAAUAUUGGCGAGAGACCGAUAGCGAACAAGUACCGUGAGGGAAAGAUGAAAAGAACUUUGAAAAGAGAGUUAAACAGUACGUGAAAUUGUCAAAAGGGAAGCGUUUGACACCAGUGUUGUUUUCUCGAAAAUCAAUUAAAAAUGGCUGGAUUCUGUGUUGUAUUGACCUUAACAGCUUUCUUCACUUUUUUCCUGUCUUCUUUAAUGCACUUUUCGUUUAACAAGUCAACAUCAGUUUCUUUUGUUGUAAAAGGGUCAUUGGAAGGUGGCUUUCUUUUCGGAGAAAGUGUUUAUAGCCUUUGAUCUCUGCAAUCGGAGAGACUGAGGUCUGCAGCGUAGACUCUUCGGGGUUAGAUACAUUUGUGCUAAGUUAUAGCUUUUCAUAGACAACUUGUUGACUAUGUUUAGUCUUGUAGCUUACUCGCUUAUGCUAUUU